GUGCCAUUUUGUUUGUAUUAUAUCCGGUUUCAAGCACCACGGUCAUCAUGUGCAUGCAUUUUGUUGAAAAGAAUGGAAAAUGCAGAAAUAUGUGUGCAGCAUUCUCAAAAGAAGCCAGUCUCAGUAAAGAAUUAUGGGACAUCUAUGUGAAAAUGUCUGCUGCAUAUGGAAUCCCAAGAGAAAAUAUACAAGAUAUCAUCAAAAACGACACCUGUCCUCAAUGAACCUAUGGAUUUGGUUUCAAGAUUGAUACGACUUGCUACAUAUCUGUCCAUGGCAUCUAAUUCACAAAUGUGAAGGUGGACCCAUCUUUCUUUCCCAAUUAUGCAUUCACCUUUCUUGUGGUGUUCAGAUUCAUCACACUGUUCUUUCUUCAAGUUUCUUCCCUUGCCCUUUUUAGUGGAAUUUUCUUUCUUUGUGAAUCAAUGAAUAAAUUUCAUCUACUGGCAUAAAAUUUU
Long non-coding RNA from Peromyscus leucopus (white-footed mouse), 458 nucleotides. RefSeq lists it as uncharacterized. The record is from RefSeq and is a predicted model, not a curated record. NCBI's taxonomy places the organism in Eukaryota, Metazoa, Chordata, Mammalia, Rodentia, Cricetidae. The transcript is spliced from 4 exons.